GUUGUCCGGAAUUAUUGGGCGUAAAGAGUGUGUAGGUGGGGCUCUAAGUUCGGUGUGAAAUCUCCCGGCUUAACUGGGAGGGUGCGCCGGAAACUGGAGUGCUCGAACGUGGGAGAGGAAAGCGGAAUUCCUGGUGUAGCGGUGAAAUGCGUAGAUAUCAGGAGGAACACCUGCGGUGUAGACGGCUUUCUGGACCAUUGUUGACGCUGAGACACGAAAGCGUGGGUAGCAAACAGG
RNAcentral lists this ribosomal RNA (237 nucleotides) under uncultured bacterium. RNAcentral's name for it is "partial 16S ribosomal RNA". It matches the Rfam family "Bacterial small subunit ribosomal RNA", at positions 540 to 776 of the family's 1533-position model. The record is from RNAcentral.